RNAcentral lists this transfer RNA (64 nucleotides) under Myotis lucifugus (little brown bat). It matches the Rfam family "tRNA", at positions 5 to 66 of the family's 71-position model. From Rfam's summary of the family: Transfer RNA (tRNA) molecules are approximately 80 nucleotides in length. Their secondary structure includes four short double-helical elements and three loops (D, anti-codon, and T loops). The record is from Rfam by way of RNAcentral. Lineage: Eukaryota; Metazoa; Chordata; Mammalia; Chiroptera; Vespertilionidae.
UGGUGGCUCAGUGGUUAGAGCAUUGACCUGCUCAUCAAAGGGUCAAGGGUUCGAUUCCUUGUCA